AGGGGCCAAAUUAGACCCCGUGGGCUCUCCGGAGUUAAAUCAAAACUCCUAUGGUGAUGACCUCAGAGAAAUUGGAUUGGGAUGAGGCGCUGCCAUUUGUGCUUCUCACCAUGAGGUCCACCAUUAAUUCCGCCACAGGUUUCACACCUCUUAAGAUGGAACAUGACCAGGAGUUCCCUGUUCCGUGGUGUUCCAUGGUCCUGGGCACUCUCCAACAGAAAAUUCUAUUCCCCAUAAAGCAAAGAUAGACUCAUUGAGUGUUCUCGUCUCCCAUUUUCAGGAGCGGACAAGACUCCAGGGUGAACACCCCGGGAAACCACAGACGUAUCCCGAGAGUGUGUAUCUGGGGGUCCUAAAGCGGAAGUGGCACCAGCUGAGAUGAAUGGGACCACGCAAAGUGACACAAAGGACCCGUCGUGCUGUCUACCUGGAUGGAAGGCAACAGCCCCAAGAAGCAUCUCCAACUCCAAAGUCACCUUCGGAAGGACAACUGGACAUGAAACCAAGACAAAGUUAUCAGUGGGACCAGAACUAAUAACAUAUCUUUCUGAUUAAACUGGUUAUUUUGGUCUCUAUUCCUCUACUGAUAUGGGCAUUGGUGUCAAGCUUCACUGAGACUGUUACUUCUGGCUGUAGUUUGUUUGAUAAUACUUUGCACAAGAUAGGAUAGGUGGCUCCACUUUGACGACAGAUUUUGGCACAGAAGUUUUGUGAUCACAAUAUUAAUUGUGAUCAAGAGAGGCAUUGUUGAGGAAUUUCACCUUGCUAUGAGAACUAUUGACACUAGUCUCUGUCUUGAACAUCUGCUGAAGUGCUUAAAACAAAGAAUGUAGUGUGAAGUUUAGAUCCUAUUUCCCCUUGAGUGGUUAACAGCCCCCAAGUGUCUUCUUCUGGUCUCCCAUCUCUGCUGUGCCCCUCAGGGCUGUCAAGUUCCCUGAGAAAGGAACUCCAAUCUCAUAAUUUGUGCACAGCAGAUGUGGUCUGUACUUUGUCAAAAUGCCAAGAUCGAACUGCCUUGACCUUUCUUUGUCUCUGAUUUUUACAUAAGGGGUAGGACUGCCCGCCCCUCAUUAACGUAAUUAACAUACUAUGCCUAUAUAUACGCGAGACUGUAUUUCUUCGAGGCUUCCUGAUGAAAUCUGAGACUCACAGGAGCCCGAAUCGAUUCGUGUUGCGUUGUGAUAAACUU
Long non-coding RNA from Hippocampus comes (tiger tail seahorse), 1189 nucleotides. RefSeq lists it as uncharacterized. The record is from RefSeq and is a predicted model, not a curated record. The transcript has 2 exons. NCBI's taxonomy places the organism in Eukaryota, Metazoa, Chordata, Actinopteri, Syngnathiformes, Syngnathidae.